UGAUGACAAUUUCUCCGGAAUCUCUGCAUCUUUGUGAUGAUUCCCUUGAACCCCAUAUCCUGAUGACUGUUCAGUUUACACU
Molecule: non-coding RNA, 82 nt
Organism: Xenopus laevis (African clawed frog)
Lineage: Eukaryota; Metazoa; Chordata; Amphibia; Anura; Pipidae
Source: Rfam